AUUCUCUCUGAGGAGACAGGGAAACAGAAGCAUGAACUUCUCAUUUGUUCCCUGAAUUAGAUUCACAUAUUUAUCUUCUCCCAAAAUGUUAAACCGCUCUUACCAAUAGAUGUUCUUCCUCAUGCACAAAACAAGCUGGACUAUGAGAGGUUUAAUAUACUCCACCCAAGUCAACUGAGAUACUGUGAUCUGAUCUCUUUCCCAGUGUGUGGCACUGAUGGCACAACCUAUGAAAAUCCAUGUCAGAAAAUAUAAAGGAAAACUUGGUUUUCAUCAUAAGGGAAGAUGCCAAGCCCUACCUGUGGAGUUAAAGAGAAUGUCGUUUCCUGAGGGCAGUUAUGUGAAUGGAAUAUUCUCUGCUUUACAUUAGAACUUUCAAUAAAGAUAUCUGGGCAACACUU
Monodelphis domestica (gray short-tailed opossum) is the source of this 401-nucleotide long non-coding RNA. Ensembl lists it as uncharacterized. Lineage: Eukaryota; Metazoa; Chordata; Mammalia; Didelphimorphia; Didelphidae. The record is from Ensembl.